Molecule: ribosomal RNA, 506 nt
Filed under: uncultured bacterium
Lineage: Bacteria
Description: partial 16S ribosomal RNA
Rfam family: Bacterial small subunit ribosomal RNA
Source: RNAcentral
GACGAACGCUGGCGGCGUGCCUAAUACAUGCAAGUCGAACGCAUUGUCUUUCACCGUAGCUUGCUACACCGAAAGAAAAUGAGUGGCGAACGGGGGAGUAACACGUGGGUAACCUGCCCAUCAGCGGGGGAUAACACUUGGAAACAGGUGCUAAUACCGCAUAAUUCCAUUUACUGCAUGGUAGAUGGAUGAAAGGCGCUUUUGCGGCACUGAUGGAUGGACCCGCGGUGCAUUAGCUAGUUGGUGGGGUAACGGCCUACCAAGGCUGCGAUGCAUAGCCGACCUGUGUGGGUGAUCGGCCACACUGGGACUGGGACACGGCCCAGACUCCUACGGGAGGCAGCAGUAGGGAAUCUUCGGCAAUGGACGCAAGUCUGACCGAGCAACGCCGCGUGAGUGAAGAAGGUUUUCGGAUCGUAAAACUCUGUUGUUAGUAAAGAACAAGGAUGAGAGUGGACAGUGCAUCCCUUGACGGUAUCUAACCAGAAAGCCCCGGCAACCUCCGU